Molecule: long non-coding RNA, 774 nt
Organism: Paramormyrops kingsleyae
Lineage: Eukaryota; Metazoa; Chordata; Actinopteri; Osteoglossiformes; Mormyridae
Source: RefSeq, a predicted model, not a curated record
GAGGAACUCAUGGCACCUUAUGAUGUGGUGGCACAACCGUCAGACUGGUCAUCUCUUGCUUCUGGAGACCUGGCUUUGAAUUGCCGCCCCAGCAGUGAUCCUGACCCCCGUGUCCCUGCACAGGAUGCUCGGUCAAGUUCUCUGAGGAAGGAGGCCAAGCUGGACUCUGCUGGAAACUGCUGCAUUUGAUUCCGCUUCAGGCUGAGACUCCAUAUAUUCACCGUGCAGCAUCAAUGCACAUGUACCGACUGGUACGUUCCAGUUAACUACAAGUGGAGAAGCCAAAGAGAGGAUCCUACUUUGGAGGAAAGACCUUGGCCAGCUCUUCACUAUUCUAUUCUCAUUUCUGUACCACCCAGACUAGGCAAAGGGGUCAUUUUCCACAGAACAGAAACUGGAUGUCGUGAGAAUGCCCCCCAGCUCAGGAUGUCACCGGCGAUUAAUCACGCAUGUGACGGUCACACUUACGCCGGACUAAAGGCCAGAAAUUGUGUGACACGGUGUAGGUUAAAGGUCAAGUCGCGUAGACGUGAUUGCUGUCAAAUUUCAAAUGAGCCAUAUGCACCUUAUUCAUAAAUUAGUCACCGCUUAGAAAUGCCUCCACCCUGGUGAUUCCAGAACUAACCCUCAGGAGUUUUCAACAGAGAAGUGAGUGUUUUCCAGUAACCCACUUAUCACUAAAUUUGACCUUUUACUCAUGAGCACGCAGAUGAAUAAGAGAUGAUGACCGGAUCGUUCCCUUAAUUAAACCCACUGAUUGGACUCUCGGCUUCC